RNAcentral lists this ribosomal RNA (501 nucleotides) under uncultured bacterium. RNAcentral describes it as "partial 16S ribosomal RNA". It matches the Rfam family "Bacterial small subunit ribosomal RNA", at positions 28 to 523 of the family's 1533-position model. The record is from RNAcentral.
GAUUAACGCUAGCGGCAGGCCUAAUACAUGCAAGUCGAACGGCAGCGGGUCCAGCAAUGGAUGCCGGCGAGUGGCGUACGGGUGCGUAACGCGUAUGCAACCUACCUUUAACUGGAGGAUAGCCCCGAGAAAUCGGGAUUAAUACUCCAUAAAAUUAUGAAGUGGCAUCUCUUUAUAAUUAAAGCUCCGGCGGUUUUAGAUGGGCAUGCGUGACAUUAGCUUGUUGGUGAGGUAACGGCGCACCAAGGCGACGAUGUCUAGGGGUUCUGAGAGGAUUUUCCCCCACCCUAGUAAUGGUACACGGACCAGACUCCAACGGGAGGCAGCAGUAAGGAAUAUUGGGCAAUGGGCGCAAGCCGGACCCAGCCAUGCCGCGUGAAGGAUGACGGCCCUAUGGGUUAUAAACUUCUUUUGUACGGGAAAAAACCCCCGGUCGUGAACCGGGGUUGAUGGUACCGUAAGAAUAAGCAUCGGCUAACUCCGUGCCAGCAGCCGCAGUAA